RNAcentral lists this ribosomal RNA (433 nucleotides) under uncultured bacterium. RNAcentral's name for it is "partial 16S ribosomal RNA". It matches the Rfam family "Bacterial small subunit ribosomal RNA", at positions 29 to 507 of the family's 1533-position model. The record is from RNAcentral.
AACGAACGCUGGCGGCAUGCCUAACACAUGCAAGUCGAACGAGACCUUCGGGGCUAGUGGCGCACGGGUGCGUAACGCGUGGGAACCUGCCCUUAGGUUCGGAAUAACUCCCCGAAAGGGGUGCUAAUACCGGAGAAUGUCUUCGGACCAAAGAUUUAUCGCCUUUGGAUGGGCCCGCGUUGGAUUAGCUAGUUGGUAGGGUAAAAGCCUACCAAGGCGACGAUCCAUAGCUGGUCUGAGAGGAUGAUCAGCCACACUGGGACUGAGACACGGCCCAGACUCCUACGGGAGGCAGCAGUGGGGAAUAUUGGACAAUGAGCGCAAGCCUGAUCCAGCAAUGCCGCGUGAGUGAUGAAGGCCUUAGGGUUGUAAAGCUCUUUUACCCGGGAUGAUAAUGACAGUACCGGGAGAAUAAGCUCCGGCUAACUCCGUG